AUACGUGCUGGGCGAACGUUAUUCGGAAUCACUGGGCUUAAAGGGUGCGUAGGCGGUCCGGCAAGUCAGAUGUGAAAUCCCCCGGCCCAACCGGGGAACUGCGUUUGAAACUGCCGGACUUGAGUGCGAUAGGGGUGUGCGGAACUUCCAGUGGAGCGGUGAAAUGUGUUGAUAUUGGAAGGAACGCCGGUGGCGAAAGCGGCACACUGGGUCGCAACUGACGCUGAGGCACGAAAGCCAGGGGAGCGAACGGGAUUAGAUACCCUAGUAGUCC
Molecule: ribosomal RNA, 274 nt
Filed under: uncultured bacterium
Lineage: Bacteria
Description: partial 16S ribosomal RNA
Rfam family: Bacterial small subunit ribosomal RNA
Source: RNAcentral